GUGACUAUAGUUCAGUCGGUUAGAGCGUCAGAUUGUGGUUNNGGUUCUGAAUGUCGUGGGUUCGAAUCCCACUAGUCACCCCU
Molecule: transfer RNA, 83 nt
Filed under: Bacteroides sp.
Lineage: Bacteria; Pseudomonadati; Bacteroidota; Bacteroidia; Bacteroidales; Bacteroidaceae
Description: tRNA-His
Rfam family: tRNA
About the family: Transfer RNA (tRNA) molecules are approximately 80 nucleotides in length. Their secondary structure includes four short double-helical elements and three loops (D, anti-codon, and T loops). Further hydrogen bonds mediate the characteristic L-shaped molecular structure. tRNAs have two regions of fundamental functional importance: the anti-codon, which is responsible for specific mRNA codon recognition, and the 3' end, to which the tRNAs corresponding amino acid is attached (by aminoacyl-tRNA synthetases). tRNAs cope with the degeneracy of the genetic code in two manners: having more than one tRNA (with a specific anti-codon) for a particular amino acid; and 'wobble' base-pairing, i.e. permitting non-standard base-pairing at the 3rd anti-codon position.
Source: RNAcentral